Molecule: long non-coding RNA, 2858 nt
Filed under: Homo sapiens (human)
Lineage: Eukaryota; Metazoa; Chordata; Mammalia; Primates; Hominidae
Description: HSALNT0120066
Source: RNAcentral
UCUACUGGAGUGGCAAAGCGGGUAUAAUUUUAUGGAGUGCAUGAAUCCUACCAGCCACUUCUAAGCCCUUGAUGGGCCUGCAUUCUCCAGACAAGCUGGUUGUUGUCCUUACCAAUGUGGUCACAAUGUGAUGAGCUUGUUUCCCACUUCACUGGAAAACAAAAUGGGAAUAUUCAGAAGAUAAGUUCCACAGCUCCCAUAGCAUCUUCCUAUCUACCAGGAUUUGGACCUUCUACACCCUGCUCCCAUUAAGGAAUUAGCCUUGCUCUUGUCCAAAACUAGCCUUUGCGUAUGCCUUAGAUCCUAUCCCCCUUGCUUGCUCACAGGCUUUGCUCCAGCAAUUCUCCCUAUUUUUCCCCUAUACCAUCAGCUUCCUCUCUCUACUAGGUCAUUUCCACCAGCACACAACAAUACUGUCUCUCUCAUCUUAGAAAUGGAAACUAACAAAAUUGAGUUCACUUUUCCUUCUGACACUAUCCCUUUUCUACCUCCCCCACUUUACAGCAAAACUCUUUGAAAGCUGCCUGAAUUUCACUGCUUCCAUUUCCUCUCCUCUUCUCACUUAAACCUACUGCUGCCAGAACCGGGACUCCACCACCUCACCAGACCCCUGCUUGUCAAUAUCAUCAAUGACUUCCAUCUUGCUAAAUCCAUUUCUUGUCCCCAUUGAACUUGACCCUCAGUAACACCUUGUCAAAUUAACCACUCCCUUCUCAUGGAAAUGAUUUCUUGUUUUCUAAGACACUACACAUUUCGUUUUCCUUCAACACCCCUGGAUGCUGCUUCCCAGUCUUGUCCCUUAACCUCCUAGCACUGAAGUGAUGCAGGGCUCAGUCCACAGAUCUCUUCAUCUUUCCUGUUCACUCCAUACUCACCCUCUUGGUAAUUCCCUUCCAGUUUCAUCGUUUAAAUGGCAUCUGUCUGCAAAUGAUUAUCAAAUGUAUGCCUCCAGCCAUGGCCACUGCUCUCAACGUUAGCUUAUCCAUCUAACUGUCAACUCUGUAUCUCUACCUGGACGCCUGAUGGAGGUCUCCAAUGUACCAUGCCCUAAACUGAAAUUUUGAUCUUCUUUAUCCACAGAAUCUGCUCGACCCUAUCUCAGUUAAAGGCAUAUGUUACUAAAGCCAAAGUCAGCAAAGAAGGAGCCUCCAUGCUUGGAAACAACCCAGCUAACUGCCAUCUGUGUGGUAGCUUGAGUGUGGAUUGAAGAACGGAGAGUCAGGAUUCUAGGGGAGAGUGGAACCAAUGGCUGGGCUGGAACCUGCAUGCCAGCACCUCCCCCACAUGCUGUUGGUCAAGCCAGAUUCAAGAGAUGGGGAAACAGACUCCGCCUCUGGAUGCCGCAAAGUCCCACGGCAAAGGGCAGGAAUAUAGAGGUGAGGGGGGAUGAUCAUUCAUACCAUGACAAAAUGGCAGAAAAUGUGCAACUCCAAGACCAAGAAAACGUGAAGAGGCUGUGACUACCUCCAUGUGAGAAACAUCUGAGUUCCUCCUGAUCCUAAGACCUCCCCACAAUGUAUGUAUGAUAGCAAUUUCCUCUGACAGAGCAGUGAAUUUGAUGAUAGUGCAUCGAUUGCUGUAAAUUGUCUGCUGGGUUACCUGUUCCUACCACCUUAGAGCACUCACAGCUCAGUGACUGUGGAAGUCAGCUUCCAAGAUGUUCCCCUAUGAUCCUCCCCUCCUUGUAUUCACAUCUGUAAAGAUUCCUCCCACAAUGAAUCACAGUUUCGUUUUGUGACCAACAGAAUACAGCAGAAGUAAGGAAAUGUGACUUCCAAGGCUAAUGAAUAAAAGGCUUUGCAGUUUUCUCCUUGGUCAGUUGGAAGCCACCUGCCAUGGACACUCAAGCAGUUCUGUGGAGAGGCUCAUGAGGGAAAGAACUGAGGCCCCUCCACCAACAUCCAGCACCAACUUGUCAGCUGUGUCUGUGAGCCAUCUAGGAAUGAGACCCUCCUGAAGCCCUGGUGAAGCCUUCAGAUGACCGUAGCCCCAGCCAACAUUUGGCUGCAGUCUCAUGGCAGGCUCCAAGCCAAACCCUACCAGUGAAUUUGCUACCAAAUUCCUGACUCAUGGAAACUGUGUGUGUAAUAAAUGUUUAUUGUAUGAUAAAGCCACUAAAUUUAGGAGUAAUUUCUUACACAGCAAUAGAUAACUAGUAGAGUCACUUUGCAUCUCUUAGGGUCUAUGGCAAAUGACACAUAAUGAAUAGAGAAAUUGGAACAGACAACUGGUUGUCUGUUUCAGUACAGAAACUGGUUGGUAUUAAGAGUGACAAUUUUUAUUAUAGUUCAAGCUAUAGUACUGUAUGUUCUUGAAUAAACUAUGCUAAUCUAGGCCAUCCAAAGACUUCCCAAAAUGUAUGGUGAGAAUAACAUUUCCAAGAUACUAAACCAAUGUUUGUAGCUCCUGAUAAUUCCUAAUUCCUGGUUGCCCCAAGCCACCACCUGCCCCAACUAAAACAAAAGAAUUGAUCACAUCAUAAUAAAAUUAGAACCUUCAAAGAACAGGCACUGAUCUCUUGGAAUUUUUAUUUUAAACUUAAGUUUACAUGACAAUCUGCUUCCACUUACAUGAUAAUCUGAAAGCAUAUGUUGAAAUGGCAUGGUUCUUGGUUGCAGAAAACAGAAAUGAAAUCUACCUAAGCAGAAAUUAAAAUUAUAGGAGGGAUAUUGGGAGCUCAUAACAUCCAGAGGCUGACUAAACAAACAGACUUCAACGUCAAAAGCAGCCCCCACCCUGGAGGCUAGGGAUCUAUGAGAGCAAAUUGAACAUCUGAUCUCUCAGCUCUCACCAAACUCACACCAUGGCAGAACCUUCACGAAGGGAGGAAGAGACUCAGAUGCUGAACACAAGGAGAG